AUCGAAUGAAUACCCUCAACACUAAAAUACAUGUCCUAAGUGACUUUUUAUGUCUUGCGUGCACCGAGGAGACCCUUGACGGUUUUUAGACGUACCAUUAUUAUUUAUGCAUAUAUUUGAAGCAUUUUGUUCAUAAUAGGUAUUUAUAUGUGUGUAUCAGACAAAAUGACUUCCCAAUUAGCAGAGGCGGAUUUAGGUUUUUUUCCAGCCCCCACCCCCACACACUAAUCUUGGAAAAUGGGAGAUUAUAUAGGGAAUCACUGAAGCAUGACUGGCAGGGACCCCUCUUAGGCCGAGUCAAUGGGUCCCCACUGCUUAGUUCUAGUUAUCUAAGGUCCUAGUGUGAAAUAUAACCAAUAGGAAUUGGUCUUUUUAAACACUUCUACAUAGGCCUACAUGUAUACGUUUUGUCAAGGGUUGGUUCAUUACCGACUGUGCAAGGGCUGUAUAGCCAGUCAAGGUCGUUAAAAACUUCCAUUUGUUGGUUCAUGCAAUAUUGAAAUUAUGUUUACUCAAUGCGCAGUUAAUAGUUACUGAUGUGUAUAUUUGCUACUUUUCUUCUUUAUUUCAUAUAAUUGAUUUUUUGAUUUUUUUUCUUCGAAAAAUUUGUGGUGUUGAAAUAGGGAAUAGACACAGAUACCUAAGCACAUUUAACAAAAGAAAUUUUGUGUAAUGUCAUCAAUCUGUUUCUGAGAUCUGUAUUACACGUAGACAGGAUGUUCUCUAGAAAACUUUACGUUAUACACACCGGAGAGUACACGCACUGUCGUAAUG
RNAcentral lists this long non-coding RNA (774 nucleotides) under Mytilus galloprovincialis (Mediterranean mussel). Lineage: Eukaryota; Metazoa; Mollusca; Bivalvia; Mytilida; Mytilidae. The record is from RNAcentral.